This 496-nucleotide ribosomal RNA is filed under the name uncultured bacterium. Its description in RNAcentral is "bacterial SSU rRNA". It matches the Rfam family "Bacterial small subunit ribosomal RNA", at positions 28 to 524 of the family's 1533-position model. The record is from RNAcentral.
GAUGAACGCUAGCGGGAGGCCUAACACAUGCAAGCCGAGCGGUAUUGUUUCUUCGGAAAUGAGAGAGCGGCGUACGGGUGCGGAACACGUGUGCAACCUACCUUUAUCUGGAGGAUAGCCUUUCGAAAGGAAGAUUAAUACUCCAUAAUAUAUUGAUUGGCAUCAGUUGAUAUUGAAAGCUCCGGCGGAUAAAGAUGGGCACGCGCAAGAUUAGCUAGUUGGUGAGGUAACGGCUCACCAAGGCGAUGAUCUUUAGGGGGCCUGAGAGGUGAUCCCCCACACUGGUACUGAGACACGGACCAGACUCCUAACGGGAGGCAGCAGUGAGGAAUAUUGGUCAAUGGGUGCAAGCCUGAACCAGCCAUCCCGCGUGAAGGAUGACUGCCCUAUGGGUUGUAAACUUCUUUUGUAUAGGGAUAAACCUACUCUCGUGAGAGUAGCUGAAGGUACUAUACGAAUAAGCACCGGCUAACUCCGUGCCAGCAGCCGCGGUAAU